This is a long non-coding RNA of Stegodyphus dumicola, 556 nucleotides long. RefSeq lists it as uncharacterized. Lineage: Eukaryota; Metazoa; Arthropoda; Arachnida; Araneae; Eresidae. The record is from RefSeq and is a predicted model, not a curated record.
CAGAGCUGCUCUAAUUACGUUAAGGCUCGUCGAACAAAUUGGGUGCGGCGGUAUGCAGUUGUUCGGUGAGAAAAGUGGCACGUUGUUGGACACACUGCAAAUAAUUUCUACUCGUUGUUCGUAGAUGUAUUUGCAUGCCCAGAGACAAAGGAAAUUAAAAGAGUUAAGGGAACGGUUUCUCUGUCUAAGAUUGCCUCCAUGAUGGAUUUGUAAACACAUCAGCGCUUCUCAACAAGAGACGAUAAAAGAAAAUUCUGUGAGGGGGGAGAAUGAGGUACUCCAGUUCCCCCUUCCACAACGGUGACAAAAGCAAAAAAUAUAAAGCAGAAAUCUCAGUUUUUCGUUGAGUGAGAAAAAGGAAGUUCUUUCAAAAAUCUUUGCCUGAAGCGUCACAACUGAUCCCUUAUCUGACGACAACUGGCAAAAAGCCUGGAAAGUCCAGCAGGCUACGUCCAGCAGCUCGAGUGUAAAGAUGUUCAAAUAUUUGCAUAGAAGUUUUAUUUUAAUGAACAGUUGUGUUAAUCAAUAUGUGUGUUAAUAAAGUUGUCUUUUAGUG